RNAcentral lists this ribosomal RNA (193 nucleotides) under uncultured Actinomycetales bacterium. Its description in RNAcentral is "partial 16S ribosomal RNA". It matches the Rfam family "Bacterial small subunit ribosomal RNA", at positions 140 to 334 of the family's 1533-position model. Lineage: Bacteria; Bacillati; Actinomycetota; Actinomycetes; Actinomycetales. The record is from RNAcentral.
GGGAUAACUUCAGGAAACUGGGGCUAAUACCGGAUAGGAGCUCCUGCUGCAUGGUGGGGGUUGGAAAGUUUCGGCGGUUGGGGAUGGACUCGCGGCUUAUCAGCUUGUUGGUGGGGUAGUGGCUUACCAAGGCUUUGACGGGUAGCCGGCCUGAGAGGGUGGUCGGCCACAUUGGGACUGAGAUACGGCCCAG